UCAACAACACUCUCCUGAAAUGGUUUCUGG
This 30-nucleotide non-coding RNA is filed under the name Mus musculus (house mouse). The record is from RNAcentral. Lineage: Eukaryota; Metazoa; Chordata; Mammalia; Rodentia; Muridae.